UGCCCACACUUCAUCAGUGUGGACUCACUGUAAACAUUCCCAGGUUUCCGAUGGCAGGUCUGCACUGUGUGACUCAUAAUAUUUCUUGUUUAUUAGAGAUUAGAAACCCACACAGAACCAGGAAAAAUGUCCCUGAGUAUACAUUUCCAUUAUCACUAAGAAAUCACAAAUCUCAGUCACCUGAGGGAAGAGUGGAAGCCUUGCCCUGUGCUUCCUUUUAUCUCUUCAGGAACCUCCCCCAAUGCAAAGCAGCCCUCAGGCUCAGGAUGAAAGCCCAGGCCUAGCUGAGAAGCCCCAUCUCCUUCUCACUAGAGCCUCCAGCAGAGCAUGGCUGUCCUGGUGCUGCUCCUCUGCCUGGUGACCUUUCCAAGCUGUGCCCUGUCCCAGGUGCAGCUGAAGGAGUCAGGACCUGGCCUGGUGCAGCCCUCACAGACCCUGUCCCUCACCUGCACUGUCUCUGGGUUCUCAUUAACUGACUACAGUGUACACUGGGUCCGCCAGCCUCCAGGAAAGGGUCUGGAGUGGGUGGGAGGAAUAUGGUAUAAUGGAAACACAUAUUAUAAUUCAGCUCUCAAAACCCGAAUCACCAUCACCAGGGACACGUCCAAGAGCCAAGUUUUCUUAAAACUGAACAAUCUGCAAUCUGAGGACACAGCCACUUAUUACUGUGCCAGAGACACAGUGAGGGAACUCCAGUGUGAGCCUGCAAAAAACCCUCCUUACAGAGACACUCAGGACCAGCAGGGGGUGCUGAGGACCAACAGGGACUACCCAGCACCAGUAGGAGUCACUUCAAAACCUAGGUUAUUGGACUAUGCUGCAUGAGCAUUUUUUUUUUUAUUGUUAGUACCGAUGGUUUCCUUUCUACACCAAGAAAUCCCCUAGGGGUCCGUCCCCAUGUUCACUUUUUAUAGACUUCCUAUUCAUUCACAUACUAGAACAAAUGGAUUUUUUCACAAAUUGUCUAUACUAUCUGUUUGCUUCUUAUUAUCAGGGAAAUUGACAUAUAACUUUAGAUGUUCCAUGUAUGUGCAUUCCAUUAUAUAUACAUAUAUUUCAACAGGAGACUGCAAUU
This is a non-coding RNA of Peromyscus eremicus (cactus mouse), 1075 nucleotides long. NCBI's taxonomy places the organism in Eukaryota, Metazoa, Chordata, Mammalia, Rodentia, Cricetidae. The record is from the annotation of a RefSeq genome assembly.